RNAcentral lists this ribosomal RNA (261 nucleotides) under uncultured prokaryote. RNAcentral's name for it is "partial 16S ribosomal RNA". It matches the Rfam family "Bacterial small subunit ribosomal RNA", at positions 524 to 784 of the family's 1533-position model. The record is from RNAcentral.
UACGGAGGAUCCGAGCGUUAUCCGGAUUUAUUGGGUUUAAAGGGUGCGCAGGCGGGAUGUUAAGUCGGCGGUGAAAUUUUGCAGCUCAACUGUAAAAGUGCCUUCGAUACUGGCUUCCUUGAGUGUAGAUGAAGUAGGCGGAAUUUGUGGUGUAGCGGUGAAAUGCAUAGAUAUCACGAGGAACUCCGAUUGCGCAGGCAGCUUACUAAACUACUACUGACGCUCAGGCACGAAGGCGUGGGGAUCAAACAGGAUUAGAUA